ACUAAUGAGCUUGAACAAGCAUAUAUUUUGAAAAUAUAUGAAAGAGAAAUUAGUCUCUAUUAGUUUA
Molecule: transfer RNA, 67 nt
Filed under: Amarygmini sp. ACP-2013
Lineage: Eukaryota; Metazoa; Arthropoda; Insecta; Coleoptera; Tenebrionidae
Description: tRNA-Ser
Source: RNAcentral